RNAcentral lists this ribosomal RNA (235 nucleotides) under uncultured Actinomycetales bacterium. RNAcentral describes it as "partial 16S ribosomal RNA". It matches the Rfam family "Bacterial small subunit ribosomal RNA", at positions 96 to 334 of the family's 1533-position model. Lineage: Bacteria; Bacillati; Actinomycetota; Actinomycetes; Actinomycetales. The record is from RNAcentral.
UGGCGAACGGGUGAGUAACACGUGGGUGAUCUGCCCUGCACUCUGGGAUAAGCCUGGGAAACUGGGUCUAAUACCGGAUAGGACCAUGCUUUAGUGUGUGUGGUGGAAAGUUUUUUCGGUGUAGGAUGAGCCCGCGGCCUAUCAGCUUGUUGGUGGGGUAAUGGCCCACCAAGGCGGCGACGGGUAGCCGGACUGAGAGGUUGGUCGGCCACAUUGGGACUGAGAUACGGCCCAG